This 1641-nucleotide ribosomal RNA is filed under the name Salmonella enterica subsp. houtenae serovar 50:g,z51:-. RNAcentral's name for it is "bacterial LSU rRNA". It matches the Rfam family "Bacterial large subunit ribosomal RNA", at positions 1223 to 2841 of the family's 2925-position model. The record is from RNAcentral. Lineage: Bacteria; Pseudomonadati; Pseudomonadota; Gammaproteobacteria; Enterobacterales; Enterobacteriaceae. RNAcentral also lists the same sequence under 1 other name.
GUUGGGUAGGGGAGCGUUCUGUAAGCCGUUGAAGGUGUGUCGUGAGGCAUGCUGGAGGUAUCAGAAGUGCGAAUGCUGACAUAAGUAACGAUAAAGCGGGUGAAAAGCCCGCUCGCCGGAAGACCAAGGGUUCCUGUCCAACGUUAAUCGGGGCAGGGUGAGUCGACCCCUAAGGCGAGGCCGAAAGGCGUAGUCGAUGGGAAACGGGUUAAUAUUCCCGUACUUGGUGUUACUGCGAAGGGGGGACGGAGAAGGCUAUGUUGGCCGGGCGACGGUUGUCCCGGUUUAAGCGUGUAGGUGUGUGUUCCAGGUAAAUCCGGUUCACUUUAACACUGAGGCGUGAUGACGAGGCACCACGGUGCUGAAGCAACAAAUGCCCUGCUUCCAGGAAAAGCCUCUAAGCCUCAGGUAACAUCAAAUCGUACCCCAAACCGACACAGGUGGUCAGGUAGAGAAUACCAAGGCGCUUGAGAGAACUCGGGUGAAGGAACUAGGCAAAAUGGUGCCGUAACUUCGGGAGAAGGCACGCUGACACGUAGGUGAAGUGGUUUACCCAUGGAGCUGAAGUCAGUCGAAGAUACCAGCUGGCUGCAACUGUUUAUUAAAAACACAGCACUGUGCAAACACGAAAGUGGACGUAUACGGUGUGACGCCUGCCCGGUGCCGGAAGGUUAAUUGAUGGGGUCAGCGCAAGCGAAGCUCCUGAUCGAAGCCCCGGUAAACGGCGGCCGUAACUAUAACGGUCCUAAGGUAGCGAAAUUCCUUGUCGGGUAAGUUCCGACCUGCACGAAUGGCGUAAUGAUGGCCAGGCUGUCUCCACCCGGGACUCAGUGAAAUUGAACUCGCUGUGAAGAUGCAGUGUACCCGCGGCAAGACGGAAAGACCCCGUGAACCUUUACUAUAGCUUGACACUGAACACUGGUCCUUGAUGUGCAGGAUAGGUGGGAGGCUUUGAAGUGUGGACGCCAGUCUGCAUGGAGCCAUCCUUGAAAUACCACCCUUUAAUGGCUGGUGUUCUAACGUGGGCCCGUGAACCGGGUUGCGGACAGUGUCUGGUGGGUAGUUUGACUGGGGCGGUCUCCUCCUAAAGAGUAACGGAGGAGCACGAAGGUUGGCUAAUCCUGGUCGGACAUCAGGAGGUUAGUGCAAUGGCAUAAGCCAGCUUGACUGCGAGCGUGACGGCGCGAGCAGGUGCGAAAGCAGGUCAUAGUGAUCCGGUGGUUCUGAAUGGAAGGGCCAUCGCUCAACGGAUAAAAGGUACUCCGGGGAUAACAGGCUGAUACCGCCCAAGAGUUCAUAUCGACGGCGGUGUUUGGCACCUCGAUGUCGGCUCAUCACAUCCUGGGGCUGAAGUAGGUCCCAAGGGUAUGGCUGUUCGCCAUUUAAAGUGGUACGCGAGCUGGGUUUAGAACGUCGUGAGACAGUUCGGUCCCUAUCUGCCGUGGGCGCUGGAAGAUUGAGGGGGGCUGCUCCUAGUACGAGAGGACCGGAGUGGACGCAUCACUGGUGUUCGGGUUGUCAUGCCAAUGGCACUGCCCGGUAGCUACAUGCGGAAGAGAUAAGUGCUGAAAGCAUCUAAGCACGAAACUUGCCCCGAGAUGAAUCUUCCCUGAGCCUUUAAGGCUCCUGAAGGAACGUUGA